This 918-nucleotide long non-coding RNA is filed under the name Manihot esculenta (cassava). RNAcentral's name for it is "long non-coding RNA (MESC_LNC006269)". Lineage: Eukaryota; Viridiplantae; Streptophyta; Magnoliopsida; Malpighiales; Euphorbiaceae. The record is from RNAcentral.
AUAUCUCUUCACACCCCCCGCAAGAUAGAGUUGCCCUAAUUUUUAGGGAAACUCAUCUUGGAUAGAAGAGUCUGGAACUGCGCCGCUCCCAAGGGUUUCGUGAAGAGAUCGGCGAUCUGUUGCCGUGAGGGUACGUGCACCGUGGAAAUGAGGCCUCUGGUGAUCUGCUCGCGGACGAUAUGGCAGUCGAUGUCCAGGUGCUUCGUUCGUUCAUGAAAAACCGGGUUGGCCGCGAUAUGCUGAGCCGCUUGGUUGUCGCAGUGAAGCGGUAUAGGAAGUUGUGGAUCGGCGUGAAAUUCUUUCAUCAGGUAAGUGAUCCACUUGAGCUCGCACACUGUGAGAGCCAUGCUUCUGUACUCAGCUUCUGCUGAGGACUUGCUAACCGUGGUCUGUUUUUUUGUUUUCCAGGAUAUUAAGGAUGGUCCGAGGAAUAUGCAGAACCCGGUGAGAGAUUUCCGGGUCAUCGGACAAGAAGCCCAGUCAGCAUCGGAGAAAGCUCGGAGCUUGAGAUCGUUCUGAGCUGGGAAAAAUAACCCUCUUGUUGGACAACUCUUUAGAUAGCGAAGCACGUGAAGUGCGGCGUUCCAGUGUGGUUGACGCGGCUGUUGCAUGAACUGGCUGAGGUGCUGCGUCGCGUAGGAGAUGUCUGGCCUGGUAACUCCGAGGUAGAGUAACCUACCUAUUAACCUCCUGUAUUUAUCUGGUUCAGUCAAAAGAGGUCCUGUUGUGUUGUCAAGUUUGAGUCCUUGUGGUAUUGGGUUGUCAGAAAAUUUGGCUUGCAUAUAACCUGUGUCUUGUAUAAUGUCUAAUAGAUAUUUCUUUUGGUGAAGAAAUAAUCCAGUCUCAGAACGUGCGAUCUGUAAUCCCAGAAAGUAUUUGACAUGUCCCAGAUCUUUGAUUGUGAAAGCUUUAUCAAGG